Molecule: ribosomal RNA, 468 nt
Filed under: uncultured bacterium
Lineage: Bacteria
Description: partial 16S ribosomal RNA
Rfam family: Bacterial small subunit ribosomal RNA
Source: RNAcentral
GACGAACGCUGGCGGCGUGCUUAACACAUGCAAGUCGAACGGAAAGGCCCUGCUUUUGUGGGGGGCUCGAGUGGCGAAAGGGUGAGUAACACGUGAGUAACCUGCCCUUGACUUUGGGAAAACUUCAGGAAACUGGGGGUAAUACCGGAUAGGAGCUCCUGCUGCAUGGUGGGGGUUGGAAAGUUUCGGCGGUUGGGGGUGGACUCGCGGCUUAUCAGCUUGUUGGUGGGGUAGUGGCUUACCAAGGCUUUGACGGGUAGCCGGCCUGAGAGGGUGACCGGCCACAUUGGGACUGAGAUACGGCCCAGACUCCUACGGGAGGCAGCAGUGGGGAAUAUUGCACAAUGGGCGGAAGCCUGAUGCAGCAACGCCGCGUGCGGGAUGACGGCCUUCGGGUUGUAAACCGCUUUCGCCUGUGACGAAGCGUGAGUGACGGUAAUGGGUAAAGAAGCACCGGCUAACUACGUG